Molecule: RNA transcript, 1326 nt
Organism: Propithecus coquereli (Coquerel's sifaka)
Lineage: Eukaryota; Metazoa; Chordata; Mammalia; Primates; Indriidae
Gene name: protein lin-28 homolog A pseudogene
Exons: 1
Source: RefSeq, a predicted model, not a curated record
AUGGGCUCCGUGUCCAACCAGCAGUUUGCAGGUGGCUGCGCCAAGGCGCCGGAGGACGCGGCCCGGGCUGCGACGAGCCGCAGCUGCUACGUGGUGCCAGCAUCUGUAAGUGGUUCAACCUGCGCAUGGGGUUCGGCUUCCUGUCCAUACCGCCCGCUCCGGGGUCGCGCUCGACCCCCCUGUGGACGUCUUUGUGCACCAGAGUAAGCUGCACGUGGACGGCUUCCGGAGCCUGAAGGAGGGCGAGGCAGUCGAGUUCACCUUUAAGAAGUCUGCCAAGGGCCUGGAAUCUAUCCGAGUCACUGGACCUGGUGAGGUGUUCUGUAUUGGGAGUGAGAGACGGCCAAAGGGUAAGAACAUGCAGAAGCGCAGAUCAAAAGGAGACAGGUGCUACAACUGUGGAGGUCUAGACCAUCAUGCUAAGGAAUGCAAGCUGCCACCCCAGCCCAAGAAGUGCCACUUCUACCAGAGCAUCAGCCACAUGGUAGCCUCAUGUCCACUGAAGGUCCAGCAGGCCCCUAGCGCACAGGGAAAGCCAGCCUACUUUCAGGAGGAAGAAGAAGAGAUCCACAGCCCUGCCGUGCUCCCAGAGGCCCAGAAUUGAGCCACAGUGGAUGGGGGCUAUUCUUUCGCUAUCAGGAAGUUUCAAUGAGCAGGCAGAGUGGAGAAAGUGGAGAUAGGGUGGGUUGGGGGUGGUUGGCACUGCCAUGUAUCUCAGGCCGGGUCAUGGCAUCACCCCUUCUUCCCUCUGGGUGGGGGAAAAGGGUGAGGCAAAGGAACCCUCCCCAUGCUCUAUCCAAAUGCAAGGGAGGGCUUUAGGGGGAAAUCACCCUAGAACCUGAAUGCUUUAUCUGAGACUCCAUCCCCAGAAUCUCUACGUUUUGAAAGUGGCCUGGAUAGGAAGUUGUUUUCCUUUUAAAGAAGGAUAUGUAAUAAUAUGCCCAUGCCAGAGUGAAGCGAUUAAGUACAAGACCAGAUUAAUGGACCCCACCCACAAGCCACUACAUUCUCUGGGAGGGACUCUCUCAGGAGAAAGGCAGGGUUUUUUCCACAUCUUGUAUUCUCAUACCCAUUCUUGAGAUAGGGUGCUGGGAACUGUCCCAAGCAAUGGGUAGUGAUGACAGGCAAAAAGGGUGGUUGGAGGAGAACAGCUGCAGACCUGCUGCUCCUAAACUCACUCCCACCCCAUUCUGGGCCAAUGUGAUUUUAUUUAUUUGCUCCCUUGGGUAACUGCACCUUGGGUCCCACUUUCUCCAGGAUGCCAACUGCACUAGCUAUGUGCGAAUGACGUAUCUUGUGCAUUUUAACUUUUUUUCUUAAUAUAAA